RNAcentral lists this transfer RNA (64 nucleotides) under Phloeotribus sp. BMNH 1047247. RNAcentral describes it as "tRNA-Gly". The record is from RNAcentral. Lineage: Eukaryota; Metazoa; Arthropoda; Insecta; Coleoptera; Curculionidae.
AUUUUAAUAAUAUAACUUUAUUAUAUUUGACUUCCAAUCAAAAAAUCUAAUUCUAGUUAAAAUA